UAAACUCCUCUUGUACUUGCAGAUUCAUGGAUUUCCUAAAAUGUGGGGAAUUUGCCGCUGUAGUCCACUGAACAGGUUUAAUAUACUCUUCGCUUUCCUCAGGAGUAUUGGCACAUACUUAUAACCACAACACUGAGGAGGCAGAAAUAAGCAGAUCCCUGGAGCCUCACUAUCCAGCUGCCCAGCCUACUAGGCAAGUUCAAGCCAGUGAGAGACCCUAUCUCAACAAAAGGAUCCAACCCAAGAUGCAUUUAGUUGCCAUGUUACUUUAGUGUCUUGAAG
Molecule: long non-coding RNA, 282 nt
Organism: Peromyscus leucopus (white-footed mouse)
Lineage: Eukaryota; Metazoa; Chordata; Mammalia; Rodentia; Cricetidae
Exons: 3
Source: RefSeq, a predicted model, not a curated record